CUACGGGCGGCUCCAGUGGGGAAUCUUAGACAAUGGGGGAAACCCUGAUCUAGCCAUGCCGCGUGAGCGACGACGGCCCUAGGGUUGUAAAGCUCUUUCAGCAGGGAAGAUAAUGACGGUACCUGCAGAAGAAGUCCCGGCUAACUCCGUGCCAGCAGCCGCGGUAAUACGGAGGGGACUAGCGUUGUUCGGAAUUACUGGGCGUAGAGCGCGCGUAGGCGGAUUGUUAAGUCGGGGGUGAAAUCCCGGGGCUCAACCCCGGAACUGCCCUCGAUACUGGCAGUCUUGAGUUCGAGAGAGGUGAGUGGAAUUCCGAGUGUAGAGGUGAAAUUCGUAGAUAUUCGGAGGAACACCAGUGGCGAAGGCGGCUCACUGGCUCGAUACCGACGCUGAGGUGCGAAAGCGUGGGGAGCAAACAGGAUUAGAUACCCCUGUAGUC
Molecule: ribosomal RNA, 439 nt
Filed under: uncultured bacterium
Lineage: Bacteria
Description: partial 16S ribosomal RNA
Rfam family: Bacterial small subunit ribosomal RNA
Source: RNAcentral